GUAUCCUCCGUCCGGUUCCACUCACCAAAAUAAAUCAACCCAUCCAUACUCAGCCGUGCAAAAGCUACCAUACACACCUCACCUUCAGCGGCGAUGGUGGUGCUCAUGGCGCGGUGCUGCUGCCAGCCUGGCGUUCGUGGGGGUCGCCCCCAAAUACCAGGAUGCUGCUGCUGACCCGGGCCCCUGUGAGCCUGCAAUCCGUUGUCGAAUCAAGCCCGGCAGAUAGUGCUGACCCAAGCCCGCGCCCCGGUGUCGACCAGAGCUCCAGGCGUGCCACACGUGUCACCGUUGUCGUCGUCCUCCGACAUCACCUGUGCCAAAAGCUCUGAUUUGUGUGCGGCAGGAAUCAUUUUUUAGAAGGCAGAUUUGUUAUGUCUCCAGCCGCCUCUUCCGCCCACCAAGUCCGGCGCUGAUUGGAAGGAAUAAGUACGUGCAACUACAAUCCCGCAUCUCUCUCUCUCAUACAUGCACAGACGUGUAGGGCUGUAGCUUCUGUGCUAAAUGAUCAACACAAGAAUUUCUCUGUGCUGGGGCUGGAUGUUGAGGAGAUCAAGCUACUGUUGUAAAUGAGGGUUCAUUGAGAAGCAAACACAACGGCGCAUAUGAUGGCGGAGGAAG
Triticum urartu is the source of this 618-nucleotide long non-coding RNA. RefSeq lists it as uncharacterized. Lineage: Eukaryota; Viridiplantae; Streptophyta; Magnoliopsida; Poales; Poaceae. The record is from RefSeq and is a predicted model, not a curated record.